GACGAACGCUGGCGGCGUGCUUAACACAUGCAAGUCGAACGGUGAAAGAAGAGCUUGCUCUUCUGGAUCAGUGGCGAACGGGUGAGUAACACGUGAGUAACCUGCCCCAGACUCUGGAAUAAGCGCUGGAAACGGCGGCUAAUACCGGAUACUAGACAGAGCUGCAUGGCUAUUGUCUGGAAAGUUCUUCGGUCUGGGAUGGACUCGCGGCUUAUCAGCUUGUUGGUGAGGUAACGGCUCACCAAGGCAACGACGGGUAGCCGGCCUGAGAGGGCGACCGGCCACACUGGGACUGAGACACGGCCCAGACUCCUACGGGAGGCAGCAGUGGGGAAUAUUGCACAAUGGGCGAAAGCCUGAUGCAGCGACGCCGCGUGAGGGAUGACGGCCUUCGGGUUGUAAACCUCUUUCAGCAGGGAAGAAGCGAAAGUGACGGUACCUGCAGAAGAAGCACCGGCUAACUACGUG
This 468-nucleotide ribosomal RNA is filed under the name uncultured bacterium. RNAcentral's name for it is "partial 16S ribosomal RNA". It matches the Rfam family "Bacterial small subunit ribosomal RNA", at positions 28 to 507 of the family's 1533-position model. The record is from RNAcentral.